CAGAGACAUAAAAGGCUGAUUCAAGUUUUUGGCAAACUGUGACUUAGUAGCUAUAAUUCAAUAAUAAGGCUAAAUUGUGGGUGAAAGUCUCCUGAAAACUUGGGCUGACUUUCCAGGAGCUACACCAGGCUCUUACUUCAGUGGCUCCGAGCUGAUAUAACUGGGACACAGGCAAUAAUCUUCUUAAAACCCCUUAAUCUGGUAAGUUUUCUACAGGGUGAUCAUAUUUGAACACAGACUGGAUGAGCAGCUCGCUUAUAUUACUUUGAUAAAAAGCAACUAAAAUAAUGUGCACCGUCUUUAAUUUUGCAGGACAACUUCUAAAUUAUUUGGGAAAACAAAGUGGAAUUGAAAAACAAAACAGCUUUCACCGCUGACCUGGUUCAAAGUCGCGUACUUCAUGCUCUUUCACGGUCAGGCGAACUUGCAAAGAAACAGAAAUCGUGGACAACGGCAGAGUCCGCUGAGAAGGGCCGCAGUGAGCGGAGUCGGCUCUCGGUUGUCAACCGCAGAGGUUUGCUCUUUGCUCCAGAAACACGCGGUGCAGGAGGGAAGAGCCGCCUGUGUCGGGAGAACUAAGGAGCAGGAAGCGGUAGCCCAGGGACGGCACAUGGUACAGCAGCCACCACAGAAACCAGCCCAGGUGCCGGACACCAGCUGUUCAGAAGUGGCCUGUGGUGUGACGCAGCUGACCCUGCGGCUGGCUGCUGAUACCUGCAGGUGGGGCCACAGGUGGGUGCCGUCUUGUAGACAUACCCAGCCCUGACCCAGCCACAGGCCUCCACACGGGUGAACCCUGGGCCUCCCCAUCCCGGCUGCGUCUCGUCUCCAGCCCCCGUGCUGAGCUGACCUUUCUCUCGUGGCGGUCACAGCUCUGGCAGCUGUCCUGUGAGGGCAGCCCAGGAGGGUCCUGCACCUGCCCUGAAAGCAGGCCUGUCGCUCCAGCCCAACCCCUAGGCCCAGGGUCCCCGGAACAUGGGGAGGCACCGGCUCCAGGAGGGUCCGUGUCUCCUUGGACCCCCACACUCUCAAUGCCACCGGAGAGACCAGGACAGAGAAGGAGCACAACAGGGUCCUCUGAGGCCGCAGGGCAGAGCACCGGGAGGGGACUGGCUGCCUGGGUCUGAAGCCAUGUUGGAAGUAGCCACUGUCCCUGUUGGAGGUGGAGACUGGCCCCUGACCUACCUUGGGGGACCCUAAGCCAUCCCAGUCUGUAUCACCUGCCUGGAGUAUGGGCGCAUUGUAGAGGCACAGUGGUUCCAAACACGGGGCGAAGGUCUUGGGGCUUCUUGAAGGUGACAAAGGGAAAAGAGAGGUGAAGGUACAGGAAGCUCCUCUUCCUUCUGUUGCACUACUUUGCCAAGGAAGAAAACCACGCAGCUGCGGCCACAUGUGGUAGACGUGGACUUUCCCCCUCGUGGAUCUCCCCCUGCACACACAGCUGAGCAAGGGUGCCUGUCCCUCACCUCUGCACCUGCUUCAGGGCCAAGGCCCCACAGUGGAAAGACGAUCUAAGUGUGCCCAGCACCUCCCACCAGGGCGCCUGGCCCAGAGCUGGGGGCCCCAGCAGGACCCCCAGAGCUUGGGAGGCCCCACAGCCUCCCACUGUGUGGGCAGCCCCUCCUGCACUUCCCAGGGUCAGAGGAUGGCUGGUCGGCCUCCUUCACCCCCGGAGCUGGGGACAACGGACUCCUCCUUCAGUAUGUGCUCCUCAACUUUCCCCUGUUUUCUCCCAUUCUCAUUUGGAUGGCUUUUUAUUUCUUAUUGUAUUUUUUUUAUUUUUUUUUAAUUUUUAUUGUUGGUUGUUCAAAACAUUACAUAGUUCUUGACAUAUCAUAUUCCACACUUUGAUUCAAGUGGGUUAUGAACUCCCAUUUUUACCCCAUAUACAGAUUGCAGCAUCACAUCGGUUACACAUCCACUGACUUACAUAUCGCCAUACUCGUGUCUUUUAAAAAGUCAUGCUGUGCUUCCAUCUAAAGGUGCUGCAAUUCUCUGUUCCCGUUGUUCAAGGAGCCAUUGAUUUGUUUCUAACAGCGUUCCCCUUUCUAGCUAACCUCCACUGAGUGAUGUUGUCACGACCCCUGACCUGACCUUCUCAUUCUGCACUAGGAUCAUUUUUUCCUGCUCCAACUACCUAUGACUGGGAAACACUUCAUACUUCCAGUUGGAGUACACAGUUGGAGGCAACUGACGACCAAUAUAUAGACCAGAGUAGGUUUUCCUUACUUUAGCCCAGUGGCCACGCUGGGGAAUGGGCUCUCCGUGCGGUCCUCAGUCACCCACCAGAAUUGCAAGGCUCGGGGCCAGCCCCAGCAGCCCAGCACCUGCCAGCAGGGGUUAAGGGACCGAGGGGACAGAGCAGGAUGCUGGUGACCUCCUGGAUGUAGAAAGCCCACAUGCCAAUGUCCCUGACUUCCUGGACCGGCCUCCAAGACCGCAGCCCCACUGCGCGCUCCCAGGAAGGGCUUGUCUGAAUGGUUUGCUGUGCUCCUGGACGGUGGAAGGAAUCAGAGCAGCCGAGGACAUCAAACCUGACCUUGGAAAAGGCUGAGAACUGCUGGCGCUAAAGCCCUUCAAACCCAUCUCAGCAACUCUAAGUACACGCACUUCGGUCUCAGAACAAAGGAAGAGCAAAUAGGUGAAGGGAGUGUGCGCAGGGCUGUCUUGAAAACCAGCCUGCUCCUGCGAGCCCUUUCAUCUCAAUUCUCUCACCCUCUGUACGUAAAUUCCUUAAUUCUUUUAUUUAAAUUUAGGAAAAUUUAAUAACUAUAAACCUGAUGCUGCUUUUUUUUUCUUAAAAAAAAGCACAUUAUAUAAGUAACCUCGAGAAAGGUGUAUUGAAAUAUAUGUAUUAAAAUAUAUCCUAAGAGGUCAUUGCUACUCCUCCAACACAUUUAACCACUGAUGAUGCACACACUUCAAAUCCAUUUAUUUUAACUGUGGGUUUUGAACCUUUUAAAUUUUAAAAUUAUUAUUAAAUGUUUUUAUUAAAUUUCAUAUUAUCAUUAUAGUCAUUAAAUAAGUAUGAUUCCUUUUUAAACCCCUCCUGGCCCACAGCGACUGUGUGACUACUGUCCUUUCCACCCUGUGGACGACUCCAUGGGCUCAGAGAGGGCUUUCCCCACUGGGGAUGUCAGAACCACCUGCUCCUGAGAGGGGGCUUGUCUUCCUCAUCUUCAGUCCCCAGUGCCACCUGGCUUCAUAGUGGGUG
Molecule: long non-coding RNA, 3214 nt
Organism: Ictidomys tridecemlineatus (thirteen-lined ground squirrel)
Lineage: Eukaryota; Metazoa; Chordata; Mammalia; Rodentia; Sciuridae
Source: Ensembl